CUCAUCCAUAGCCCCGGCCUGGGGGGUUGGGGGGGGGGUCCCCACUCGAAUAUCGCGAUAUGACGGCAACUAUCGCGAUAUGGCUGCGACUAUCGCGAUAUCCCUGCGCUCUAUCGCGGCGUGGAGGCGCCUGUGACCCGUUGGCGGUGCCCUAUCGCGACAUAAUGCCCCCUAUCGCGACAUAACGGCGCCCUAUUGUGACAUAACGGCCCCCUAUCGCGACAUAACGGCCCCCUAUCGCGACAUAAUGGCGCCCUAUCGCGACAUAACGGCCCCCUAUCACGACAUAAUGGCGCCCUGUCGCGACAUAACGCCCCCUAUCGCGACAUAACGGUGCCUUAUCGCGACAUAACCGCGCUCUAUCGCGAUAUAAUGGCGCCCUAUCGCGACAUAACGCCCCCUAUCGCGAUUCAGCCGCGCUCCGUUAGCAGCAGUCGUCGUCCGUUUCGCUGUAGGGGUCGCGGAGUCUCUGGCGGCCGACGACCCCCCCCGGGAACCCCCGCCCCCCCCGGUCCGUGACGUUCGGCAGCACGCCGGCCCGGCCGCAGGGGGGGGAUGGACCAUAGAACGGGAUUGAGGUGGGGGGGGGGGGCCGCGGUGGUCGGGGUGGGAGGGGGGAGGGUCCCGGAGAUCCGGGGCGGGGUUUCGGUAGACAACGCCGGGAGGAGGAGCCCGGGGGGGCAGAUCGAUUUAGU
RNAcentral lists this long non-coding RNA (695 nucleotides) under Coturnix japonica (Japanese quail). Its description in RNAcentral is "lncRNA (ENSCJPG00005001958.1)". Lineage: Eukaryota; Metazoa; Chordata; Aves; Galliformes; Phasianidae. The record is from RNAcentral.